ACGACCCACCUUAUUAUUUUUUCUCUGAUUUGAAGGAGGUUCGAUCGAUUUCUAUUUUUUUCUCUCUCACCGUCGACGCUAUUCAAUGGUCCGCUACCACACUUUCUCUGAUUUGAAGGAGGGUCGAUCGAUUUAUGAGCCAAUCAUCGUCGAGGUUUUCGUUUUAGGGUUACUGAUUUUAUUGGGUUUUUAUGUGGGUUGUUUCAGAUCUAGUUUUUUUUGUUAAUUUAUCAAUUUUCCUUCAAAACCCCAUAUUUAUCCUCUCUUUUUUUCGUUAAUUUUGUAUGUUUUUCGUUAAUUUCGUAUGUUUUUUUGUUUUCUCGAUUUUUAUUUAUCCUCUCUUUUUCGAUUUUUCUUUCAGAUCUGGUUUUUUCUUGAUUUUUUCGUUGGGUUUUUGUCCUAAUUAUUUCUAGGUUUUUCUUCUUCUCAUCAGAUUUGGGUUUUUUUUUGAAUGAUUUUGUGUUGAAUUUUUAAUCUGGUGGACUAUCUGGUGUUUUGUCUGUUCUUUAGGAGUAUCUCAAGAACUUACAGAAGUUAAUUUGAAGCGUUUUGUUAAAGAGCUAAAUCUGGAUAUAACAAGAUUUCCUCAAAAUUUAUUGCUGCUGAGAUGCACAAGUUCUUGAGGUAAUUGAUCUGAUUGUUUAGUUGCUCUGGGAGUAAUAUCAGUUACAGCAUCCAUUUUUCUUUUUUUUCUUUUUAGUUUGUCACUAUUGAUCAUCCAUUAGUGAGGAAUCAGAAAACAUAUGCAAAAAUGUGCUAAGCUAAUACUGGGUGAUAUUUUCAUAUGGCUUCUCAGAAUGAGAUUUGAUCAAGAUUUUCUAAUUCUUGGAAAUGGCUAUUGGAAGUUAUGAAAGUACAUUAGUAGUCUGACUUUUCUUUGAUUGAUUCUAUAUGAAAACGUGUAAGCUCAAUGCUGUCCCUGAUUCAACCAAUCCUCAAGCUACCAGUUCAAAACUUCAACAUGUUUCUUUGAUAAAAGAAUUCUAACUAUUGACUGUGGAGAUAUAAAUAUCUGAAUAUACAAGAUAUUUGAAUGAGAAUUGAUAGAGAAUAUACAUAUUCUCACAAAUGAUAAUAUUUAAAUAUAAUACCUAGAAAUCUCAGAAGAUCUUUUGUCUUCAAAGUUGACUUGGUCUGUUGAUCAUAUUGUUAGACCGAGCUCCUUCUUCCCUACAAAAUGAUGCAGUAACAGUUCAGAUUUUUUUUGUAGUCUCUUACUAGCUAUACGAUAGUAUCAUGCUGGUACUGCAGUAAAAUUGAUUUUUUUUUUCUCUUUAGAGAAACACUUUUACUUGUUUCAAAAUAAAUUUGGUUCCUAGAUCUCCACUUAUUACUUGAUUAUCCAUGUUUCUGAUGCAUCCUUUUUUGACUUUAAAUUAACUUUAUGCUUAUAUUUUCUUUUUCCAGAAAAGGGUGGCAGACAACUUCUUAGGUAAGUACUAGUAUAUGUCACAGCUUCCAUAUCAUAAUUUUCUGCUGCUAGCCAACUUUGAUCAGUAUGAAAACCUGCAAUCUCCUUCAAUUCUUUCUAAAAACGAGCAUAAAUCACAGAUGUGUAUAAAAUUAUGAUGAAAACUAGAUUUGGUAGUAACUUCUGUAAGGCGUAUCAUGUCUCAUCAUAAUUCAAUAUCAUGUGUUCAUUGAUUGCAUUGAAACUCGAAACGUGAAACACCUUGUCCAAAUGAUGAUUCAGCUCUUUUUGUCAAUAAAAUUCUUGGAUCUGAUUGAGGGCAUGAAAGAUCUAAUUGUGUUUUAUCUGAAUUAAAAUAAUAUGCUACCAUCUGGUGUAACUUCCUGUGAGAAGAUAUGUUAAAUUCAUUAGUAGUUGUUAGAUCUGAUAAACUUCCCAAAUUACCUUCAAGUAAAGCAAUGGAAACUAGCUCGAUCUGCGACAAUCAUAAAAAGAUAGUGUUGGUCAAUACAAGAGAUCUUUCUGCCUUUAGGAGAGAUUGUUGUGAAGACUACUGGGUUUGUGCCUCUUUGAAGGUGGUAUAUUAUUUCAGUUGCUUUAACUAUGUACGUUGGUUCUUUAUUGCUUUUCAUCAGUAAAUACAAUAUGUUAGGAUGAAUGAGUAGUGAAAAAUUAUAGUAUCUCUACCUCCUUAUAAGUGCUUCUAAAAUCAAUAGGUGAUGAAAUUAUAAUUAGCUAGAAAAGUUGACAUAAUCUUAUAUAGCACAAAUUAAUAUUUGUCUAGAUAUUAUAAUUGGCUUGAAUGCUGCUCGUUUGAGUAUUUCAUCAUGCAAGUUUUCUUGAGUAUAUUCUGCCUUGGGUGCCUGUGUAUUUAGCCUGUUAAUUUCUUUGUUUUUGUUGAUUUGCAGGGUUAUGAGAUUUGUGUUUGAGUUCCAGAUUUGAAGUUGGUUUCGAUCCAAAAACCAGAUUUAAAGUCCGUUUUGGUUCCAGAUUUUUGUUGUGGAGUUUAAAGUGUACAUGUAAUUAUAUGAGAUUUGUAUUAGAUUUUGUUUGAAGUAUAAUAGAAUUUAGUUGUAGAUUUUUUUUUUUUCACUUGUAAUUACAUUUAUUAUCAAUAAUAAUUGAAUUGAUUAAUUUGUUUGCCUUAAUAAAAGAAUUAUGGUAUUUGCAUCA
Long non-coding RNA from Beta vulgaris subsp. vulgaris (sugar beet), 2584 nucleotides. RefSeq lists it as uncharacterized. The record is from RefSeq and is a predicted model, not a curated record. NCBI's taxonomy places the organism in Eukaryota, Viridiplantae, Streptophyta, Magnoliopsida, Caryophyllales, Amaranthaceae. The transcript has 2 exons.